Molecule: ribosomal RNA, 253 nt
Filed under: uncultured bacterium
Lineage: Bacteria
Description: partial 16S ribosomal RNA
Rfam family: Bacterial small subunit ribosomal RNA
Source: RNAcentral
UACAGAGGGUGCGAGCGUUAAUCGGAAUUACUGGGCGUAAAGCGCACGUAGGCGGCUUGGUAUGUCGGGUGUGAAAUCCCCGGGCUCAACCUGGGAACUGCAUCCGAAACUGCCUUGCUAGAGUAUGGGAGAGGGAAGUGGAAUUUCCGGUGUAGCGGUGAAAUGCGUAGAUAUCGGGAGGAACACCAGUGGCGAAGGCGGCGACCUGGGCCAAUAUUGACGCUGAGGUGCGAAAGCGUGGGGAGCAAACAGG